Molecule: ribosomal RNA, 395 nt
Filed under: uncultured bacterium
Lineage: Bacteria
Description: bacterial SSU rRNA
Rfam family: Bacterial small subunit ribosomal RNA
Source: RNAcentral
AGUGAACGCUGGCGGCAGGCCUAACACACGCAAGUCGAACGGCAGCACAGAGGAGCUUGCUCCAUGGGUGGCGAGUGGCGGACGGGUGAGGAAUACAUCGGAAUCUGCCUAGUCGUGGGGGCAUAACGUAGGGAAACUUACGCUAAUACCGCAUACGACCUACGGGUGAAAGCGGGGGAUCGCAAGACCUCGCGCGAUUAGAUGAGCCGAUGUCCGAUUAGCUAGUUGGCGGGGUAAUGGCCACAAGGCCGACGAUCGGUAGCUGGUCUGAGAGGAUGAUCAGCCACACUGGAACUGAGACACGGUCCAGACUCCUACGGGAGGCAGCAGUGGGGAAUAUUGGACAAUGGGCGCAAGCCUGAUCCAGCCAUGCCGCGUGGGUGAAGAAGGCCUUC